CUUGACAUCCCGAUGCUAUUUCUAGAGAUAGAAAGUUACUUCGGUACAUCGGUGACAGGUGGUGCAUGGUUGUCGUCAGCUCGUGUCGUGAGAUGUUGGGUUAAGUCCCGCAACGAGCGCAACCCCUAUUGUUAGUUGCCAUCAUUCAGUUGGGCACUCUAGCGAGACUGCCGGUAAUAAACUGGAGGAAGGCGGGAUGACGUCAAAUCAUCAUGCCCCUUAUGACCUGGGCUACAUACGUGCUACAAUGGUUGGUACAACGAGUUGCGAGUCGGUGACGGCGAGCUAAUCUCUUAAAGCCAAUCUCAGUUCGGAUUGUAGGCUGCAACUCGCCUACAUGAAGUCGGAAUCGCUAGUAAUCGCGGAUCAGCAUGUCGCGGUGAAUACGUUCCCGGGCCUU
Molecule: ribosomal RNA, 400 nt
Filed under: uncultured Streptococcus sp.
Lineage: Bacteria; Bacillati; Bacillota; Bacilli; Lactobacillales; Streptococcaceae
Description: bacterial SSU rRNA
Rfam family: Bacterial small subunit ribosomal RNA
Source: RNAcentral